AACAUCAAACAAAAAUGACGUGUAAAAUAAUCAUGAAAAGUGCUAGUUUAAUACUUUAAAUACUUCUUGCCGAUUUUAAACUGUAUUCAUUUUCUUGUCUGUCACAAUUAAUUAACCAAUAUUAUACCAGUUUAAUUGUUAAUCUUAUUUGGUGGUAACCUAUUUAGGUUACAGGCAGAUUAUUUUUCAACAUCAUCAUCUAUAUCACCGUCAUCACCAUAACCAUCUUCACCCUUGGUUGUUUUCCUCAUCAUAUUUUGCUUUACUCUCAUCAUUUACUGAAAUUGGAAAAUUUUUUGACUUUUAAUUCCUUUCUUUCCUAAUCUCUUUUUGUUAGCAUUUAUCCAAUUUAAUUGUGUUCAUCUCGUUUUUCUACCUUUUGGAAAAUUUGUGCAUUAAUCUACACUACAAUACUUCAAAUCACUUGACACCACCUAACCUUUCUCCUUGCUUAAUUCAACUGAUCUUCCUCUUCCACUUUAAUUUCUAUAUAAUUUAUUUAAUUUUCUGUUGUGCAUUUAUUUAAACAAGUCAUUUCAUUAUUGUGUUCUUUAAAAUUAUUCAACGUUUAUUUAAAAUUUAUUCAUUUUUUUGUCUCAUCUGAAAAAAACAAGAAAAUAUGGAAGUUGAUCUUUUGACUGCAUCAAUAUGUGUAUCCGUGGCCCUUGUUUCAGCAGUUGCUGUCUAUCUUGGUUCCGUCUUUAUUAUCAAAGAAAAAACUUUCGAUGAAGCAAUUGAGGAACAGAGAAAACUAACCUUGUUAGACUUCGGCAGUGACAUUAAGGGCGGUGGAGGUAAAAAAAGUGAAAAGGAUAAAAAAUCUAAGAAAGACAAGAAGGAUAAGGAUAAAGAUAAAGACAAAGAUAAAAAGAAAAAGAAAAAUGAGGCCGUUAAGGGUGGGGGUAGUGGUGAAAAAAUUAAACCAGGUAUCCCCGAAAAGGAAGGUAAUAAAACAGUGAAAGCUAAAACCGUUGAGAAGAAGGAAUUGGCUGUUGCACCACCAGCUAGUAAUGUUGAAGACCAAGCCGGUGCCAAUGUGCCUGCUAACUCUGGUUCAACAGUAAAAAUUGAAAAAACUCCACCAAUUAAUCAAUCAAAGGCGAAAUCAUCUGAAGAUAUUCAACAGCCUAAACCUGUUAACACUUCUAAGGUUUCUAGUGACACAGGUUCCCAGCAAGUGUCACCAGCUCCAGAUGAAAACAAAAUUGUAUCACCAAGUCAACCAGUGUCUCCAUCUAAAAAGAAAGCUAGUGCUACUGUUGUCCAAACUCAAGUAAAGGACACGGUUGACCAGAAAAAGAGUGAAAUUAAAGGCAAUACCUCAGGCACCGGUAAUCAAAAGGUUAAGCCAGGCAAAAAAGGCGAUAUUGGAGAACCGGCUCAAGUUGGAGUGAGUAAUAUUAAGGAGGAUACUCUUAAAGGCGCUGCUGGUAAGGAAAAUAAGGGGAAACAAGGCGUGGAGGGAACAGGUAUUCCAGUCAAUGAAUCAAAGAAGGAAGCUGGUGAUGCUAAACCUGUCCGAGAACCAAAAAACAGGGAAAUCAGAGAAAGCAAACCUAAAGAAAUUUCUCGUGACACUUUAGAUGCUGGUGUUAAAGAGGCAUCAGCAAGUCGUCAAGUUGAUGGUUUAGCUAUCGUUGAAGAAACUGUUAAAUCUGAAGAAGCUAAAGGUAACCUCGCUUCACCAGGCAAAAAGGCAAAGAAACCGAAAAGUUCUUCUAAAACUGAUUCUGGACGUUUGGAUUAUGAUUUGUCUUUCAAGCAAUUGAUGGAUCAUGUUAAUAACCAUCCAUUCGAUAGUGAAGAAAUUCAAUUAUUGAUCAACGUUCUACUUGGAAAGCAAAGUGAUGAAACUAAUCAAUGGAAAAAGAAACAUGAUCCCAUGGAAUCCAUUAAAGAACAAUUGCAUGAAAAGGAACAAGAGGCUGCUACAUUGUCUCAGAAUCUUCAGCAAACUCGAGCUCGUAUGAAGGAACUUCGUUUGGAUCUAGAGCGUGAAAAAAGUAUUCAUGCUAUGACCAAAGAAAAAUUGGGACAACAUGGGACAGAAUUGAACAAUUUAAAAAACUCUUUGCAACAAGCUAUUGAACAACAAAGAAUGGAAACUAAAGUAUUGCAAGGUAAAUUGAAAGAACAAGAUUCUGAUCUUCAAGCUCGUAAUAUUGCCAUUCAACGACUUAACGAAGAAACUGUCAAUCUGAAACUGGCACUGCAACAAAUGGAAGCAGAAAGAGCUAAUUUGGAAAGUAUUCCACGUCUUCAACAUGAAAUUGAACGUCUACGAGCUGAACGAGGUCAAAUGGAACGCCAUUCACAGGCUCUUCAACAAAACAACGAGGAACUUCUACGCAAUAUGGAAAAAAUGAGUGAGCAGAUUAAAUCUCUGAAUGCACAAAACAAUACUAAACAAAAUGAAGAAUAUUCUCUACAAAAAAAGCUGAAAGAAUUGCAAGAGCAAUUGCGACAACAUGAUGCUAACAAAGCUGCUUUGUUGGAAGAUUAUAAAUCAUCUGUUGACAAAAUGCAAAAGGUUGAACAAGAAAAACAAAUGAUCGAAAAAGAGAAACAAAUGGUUGAAAAGAAAAGUGAAGAUGAAAUGAAAAAUCUGAGGGAGAAAAUUCGCCAAUUGGAACAAGAAAAAGAACGCUUACAAGAAGCUUCGCAUAACAAGGCUUCAUCAGACGAAGAAAAAGAUGGCAUCAUUAAUCGUCUUAAAGAUGAGAUUAAUAACUUGAACAAUGAACGAGGAAGGUAUGAAGAAGAAUUAAAGCGAGCUAAUAAGGCUGCUGAUGAUAUCAAACAAGAAUUGGAUCUUGUAAAGAAAGAGAGUGAAGUCAAAGUUAAUGAAGCUUUGACUAAAUCAAGAGCAGCUUUUGAGGAGCAGCUCAAAAAAGAAUUAGAAAAGGUUAAUAAAGACAAAGAGUCUGUAGAGAAGCAACUCUCUGAAAUAUCUUCAGAGAAAGUCUCACUUGAGGCUGAAAAGGCUCGAUUCAAAGAAUCGCUGCUUAAAAUUAAUCAACAAGAACAAGACAUUUUUAAAAGUUUGGACCAGUUAAUUGAUGAAUUAGUUACAUUAAGAGCUGAAAAGGCUGAUAAUUCACAAGUUGAAAAAUUAGAAUUAGAAUUGAAUACAGUUAGGAGCAAUUUAAAGAAUGAACAAGACAGACUAGAGAAAGCUGAAGCUGAAGCUGAAAAGUUCAAAGACACAUUAAGCAAAACGGAUGAGUACCUCAAAGUAUUGGAGCAAAAAUCUAAAGAAGCUUUUGAACAGUCUACAAAUGCAACGAAAGAGUGUCAACGAUUGCAAGAGCUGGUAGAUAAAUUGGAACAAGAUAAAAGUGUUCUUGAAAGUAACCUAUCUCAAGUGGAUAAUCUUAAAAAAACUAUAAAAGAUCUUCAAGCCAAAAAUGAUGAGCUUCAACUUAAAUUAGAUGUUGAUAAUAAAGUAGAACUGAUAGAAGAGCCCGCUCAAGAGAAUGGCAAAGAGGAGCAAAAUGGUAAAGUCGAUGAAGUUAAUGAAGAGACCGAUAAUAAUGAUGAGGCCAAGUUAUCAACAAUAUGAGCAUCCCUAUAAUAUAAUCACGGUUGAUAUCAAAUAUUAUUCCGACCUUUAACGGCCCAGUUAUUCGGAAUCGAUGUUGUCCAUCAACAUUUCUACCUUUCAACUACUUUUUCCAAGAAAUCCAAAAAGAAGAGUCCGAAAUGGAAGAAAUGGGUUGUAAAAAUGAGCUCUUAAGAAUGAAUUUCAACAAUCUUCAUGCUAAGGAGACAUUUCUUUAUCUGUGAUCUUAAGCUCUCCAGGCUCUCCAAAUAACCUCAUGGGCAGAGGCUAUUAACUUGUAAAAAAAGAAAUUUAUGUUGCCUAUCGUUGGUUUUAUAUCAUCAGUAUUUUCAGAUGUUACUUUCGGGUUGUUAAUGAUGAUAAAGAUAAAUUUAUCGGGACAAUAAUUUUGGAUUCAAGUUUGAUAUAAUGUGCUCUACUCGCUACUGUGGCAUCGAAACGAUGAAUGAAAUUGUUGUGCAACCUGACUAAUCGUUCCUAUCGAAUUGUCUUUUUUUCUUCUAAAUUUUUUAAAGACCAUUUUUACAUUUUAUUGGUCAAAGGAUUGCACAGAAAAGGUUGUUGAGUUCAUUCCUUUAAGGGCAGGAAGAAGAAGCAACGCAAAUUGCUGUAAAACGAAUGCAUUUACUCACAUUUUUCCAACUCUCAAAACUCCCUCUCUCAUAAUGAAUUGAAAAAAAACCAAAAAAAAUACAAAUUACUAUAAAAUAUACAUAAUACUUUUCAAUAUCGACCAAAUAAGAAUGGGGCCAAUCAAGGACGAUUGAUAUUUGUUAUCAACCAAACAACGAAAUGUUUUUAACUUGUUUUGAAAUGUAACCAAGUUUAUAUAUAAAAAAAAUUAUUUCUUGAUCUGAUUUAUUAA
Tetranychus urticae (two-spotted spider mite) is the source of this 4427-nucleotide RNA transcript. RefSeq lists it as uncharacterized. Lineage: Eukaryota; Metazoa; Arthropoda; Arachnida; Trombidiformes; Tetranychidae. The record is from RefSeq and is a predicted model, not a curated record.